Molecule: non-coding RNA, 132 nt
Organism: Helianthus annuus (common sunflower)
Lineage: Eukaryota; Viridiplantae; Streptophyta; Magnoliopsida; Asterales; Asteraceae
Source: Rfam
ACUACUUGCGACACAAUGGGAGUUGACCACACCUAAAGUCGUUACCUUAACAAGAAGGACGAGGAUGUUGAAGGUGGGGCUAGUGACUGGAAUGAAGUCGUAACAAGGUAGCCACAUUGGAAAGUGCGGCUA